Molecule: ribosomal RNA, 440 nt
Filed under: uncultured bacterium
Lineage: Bacteria
Description: partial 16S ribosomal RNA
Rfam family: Bacterial small subunit ribosomal RNA
Source: RNAcentral
CUACGGGAGGCACCAGUGAGGAAUAUUGCACAAUGGGGGGAACCCUGAUGCAGCAACGCCGCGUGGAGGAUGACGCAUUUCGGUGUGUAAACUCCUUUUAUAUGUCAAGAAAAUGACGGUAGCAUAUGAAUAAGCACCGGCUAACUCCGUGCCAGCAGCCGCGGUAAUACGGAGGGUGCAGAGCGUUACUCGGAAUCACUGGGCGUAAAGGACGCGUAGGCGGGUUGGAAAGUCAGGUGUGAAAUCCUACAGCUUAACUGUAGAACUGCACUUGAAACUUCUAAUCUAGAGUAUGGGAGGGGGAGAUGGAAUUAGUGGUGUAGGGGUAAAAUCCGUAGAUAUCACUAGGAAUACCUAAAGCGAAGGCGAUCUCCUGGAACAUUACUGACGCUGAGGCGUGAAAGCGUGGGGAGCAAACAGGAUUAGAUACCCCGGUAGUC